GGGGCCAUAGCUCAGCUGGGAGAGCGCAUCGCUGGCAGCGAUGAGGUCAGGGGUUCGAUCCCCCCUUGGCUCCACCA
This 77-nucleotide transfer RNA is filed under the name Cohnella ginsengisoli. RNAcentral describes it as "tRNA-Ala". It matches the Rfam family "tRNA". From Rfam's summary of the family: Transfer RNA (tRNA) molecules are approximately 80 nucleotides in length. Their secondary structure includes four short double-helical elements and three loops (D, anti-codon, and T loops). The record is from RNAcentral. RNAcentral also lists the same sequence under 1 other name. Lineage: Bacteria; Bacillati; Bacillota; Bacilli; Caryophanales; Paenibacillaceae.